This 70-nucleotide non-coding RNA is filed under the name unclassified sequences. RNAcentral describes it as "int-alpA RNA". It matches the Rfam family "int-alpA RNA". From Rfam's summary of the family: Acidobacteria (1 example), Planctomycetes (1 example), Proteobacteria. Environment (Lake Washington) The record is from Rfam by way of RNAcentral.
CCAGUGCCUAGCCCGACGGGGCGAAAACCGGAUUCCUUUCCACCGGCUGGCACUGGUUUUUAUUGAGGGA